UGGGGAAUAUUGCACAAUGGGCGGAAGCCUGAUGCAGCAACGCCGCGUGAGCGAUGAAGGCCUUUGGGUCGUAAAGCUCUGUCCUUGGGGAAGAAAAAAUGACGGUACCCUUGGAGGAAGCCCCGGCUAACUACGUGCCAGCAGCCGCGGUAAUACGUAGGGGGCAAGCGUUAUCCGGAAUUAUUGGGCGUAAAGAGUGCGUAGGUGGUCUUGUAAGCGCGGGGUGAAAGGCAAUAGCUCAACUAUUGUAAGCCCUGCGAACUGUGAGGCUUGAGUGCAGGAGAGGAAAGCGGAAUUCCUAGUGUAGCGGUGAAAUGCGUAGAUAUUAGGAGGAACACCAGUGGCGAAGGCGGCUUUCUGGACUGUAACUGACACUGAGGCACGAAAGCGUGGGGAGCAA
Molecule: ribosomal RNA, 400 nt
Filed under: uncultured bacterium
Lineage: Bacteria
Description: bacterial SSU rRNA
Rfam family: Bacterial small subunit ribosomal RNA
Source: RNAcentral